RNAcentral lists this ribosomal RNA (466 nucleotides) under uncultured bacterium. Its description in RNAcentral is "partial 16S ribosomal RNA". It matches the Rfam family "Bacterial small subunit ribosomal RNA", at positions 28 to 522 of the family's 1533-position model. The record is from RNAcentral.
GAUGAAUGCUGGCGGCGUGCCUAAAACAUGCAAGUCGAGCGGUAACAGAAGUAGUUUACUACUUGCUGACGAGCGGCGAACGGCUGAGUAACGCGUGGGAACAUACCCCAAAGUGAGGAAUAACCGCCCGAAAGGGUGGCUAAUGCCGCAUAUGAUCUUCGGAUUAAAGCUUUCGAGCGCUUUGGGAAUGGCCUGCGUCCGAUUAGAUAGUUGGUGAGGUAAAGGCUCACCAAGUCUACGAUCGGUAACUGGUUUGAGAGGAUGAUCAGUCAGACUGGAACUGGGACACGGUCCAGACUCGUACGGGAGGCAGCAGUGGGGAAUAUUGGACAAUGGGCGAAAGCCUGAUCCAGCAAUGCCGCGUGAGUGAUGAAGGCCUUAGGGUUGUAAAGCUCUUUUACCAGGGAUGAUAAUGACAGUACCUGGAGAAUAAGCUCCGGCUAACUCCGUGCCAGCAGCCGCCGUA